AUACAAUGAAGAGUUGCCCGCUUUUUUUGUCAAUAGUCUCAACAAUUGUUUACUUUUUAAUUGUAACACAAUGUAAUUUAUUAAAAUUAGUGAACCAACAUUGAACUCUGUUUAUUAUCAAGUUUAAAUUUAGUGAUGACUAGGAGCGGAUAAUUGUGAUAAAUGAUGGUGAACAGUUUGACAUCCAACAGAGUCUAUUAUUGACUGGAAAGCGUGAUAACUGUAAUUACCGUUGGUAAAACUGAAGAAACGUUUGCUUUGCAAUUAUGAUUCCUGAUUUUUUUCAGCUACUGAAUGGAGGAUGGGUGAUGAACAAUUGGCUUCCUGGAAGUUUCCUAGUUGAUCUAAUCUGUGUAAGAAAAGCAUGAUGAGUACAGAAAAUGUUUAAGAGAAAGUAAGAAAAAGAUGAAAUGGAAGACAAAGCUUGGUGAACCUUUCUUCUGCUGUUUGUUUCAACUUUUGCAUUCAUCUUCUGCUCUACAGCAAAAAAAAGGUUUACUUUUUGCUUCUUCUGCUACCAUUUUAGUUGUCAUCUUUUUCCUUCAGUUUUCGAGACACAGUGCUAAUCAAGUAUACCAAUCAGACAUACUAAUUAGCAUUCAGUUGAUAAAAAUCAUCUUAUUCAUUGAAAUACGCUUAUCAUGAGAUACCUCUAGUGAGGAAAAGUGAAAGCUCGAUUGUAUUCAAAUUAGUCUUUUUUAUGAGAAAGAAAAGGAUGCAAUUGUCGCAAAAUUAGUUAUUGCUGUUGACAUGUUUGGAUGCUUAAACAUGAAGUAUUGUUGGACUUGGCCUACAGCUAUGUUAGCUAUAUAAUCGGUUCCCUGUCCGUUCACCACACUAAUCCUUUGAAUUGGAAUCGAGAAGGACAAAUUUAAAGCAGAUUUUUCGAUGUCUCAUCACAAUCAAGGAAUCUUCAACGGAAAACUGUGCAAUCCUGAAUUUGCCCAAUUAAAUAACAAGAAAAGUAAUUGAUUUAAGGUUAAAAUUCUGGAUACAUAAUUGGUUACUCCUUAGGCUGUCAAUGUUUUAGAGGUGAAUAUUUGAAGUCCGAAAUUCCAAGCCAAUUCCAUGCUAUUGACCAAUUGAUGUAGGCGUUUAAUCAAAGCCAGUGAGUGGAGCUUUCGUUGAUAAUGAUCAUGUUUAACCUUGGCUUGAUUCAGACGUGACUUAUUAACGAUAAUUGUUAUCGAGUUGAAAGAUGAUUUACCUUUAUUGAAGGAAACAAAUCAAGAUGGAAAUGGCUGAGCAAAUAAAUCGUUUAAAAUGAAGCUUACUUGGACUCUCUUUUUUAGGGUUAAAUGUUGCGUUAAUUUUUUUGCCAUCUUAUAAUUGACUUUUAAUCAUGAAUAUUUUAAAUGAUUUAAUCAUCGAUUUGACGUAAACCUGAUUCACUUUCAAGCUUGUUAAUUUAGUGGCUUGGAUUGGCGGUGUUUUGCGUUUCCAUCACUUUCAUCGUCAUCAUCAUUAUUGAAAUAAAUAUCAAUUAGUAGACUGAUUAGACGGGUUAAUUGUUGCAUUAUAGAUUACAAUUUUUAAUAAAUCAAUGACCGAACUUUUAACUUGUCAGUUUUUAGGCCAAUACUGAGUAAUCCAAGAAAAUUGUAUUCAAUUGAA
Tetranychus urticae (two-spotted spider mite) is the source of this 1614-nucleotide non-coding RNA. NCBI's taxonomy places the organism in Eukaryota, Metazoa, Arthropoda, Arachnida, Trombidiformes, Tetranychidae. The record is from RefSeq and is a predicted model, not a curated record.